CCUACGGGGAGGCAGCAGUGGGGGAUAUUGCACAAUGGGGGAAACCCUGAUGCAGCGACGCCGCGUGGGCGAAGAAGUAUUUCGGUAUGUAAAGCCCUAUCAGCAGGGAAGAAGAAAUGACGGUACCGGAGUAAGAAGCACGGGCGAAAUACGUGCCAGCAGCCGCGGUAAGACGAAUGGUGCAAGCGUUAUCCGGAUUUACUGGGUGUAAAGGUAGCGCAGGCGGCACGGCAAGCCUGAGGUGACAGCCCGCGGCCCAACCGCGGGACUGCAGUGGGAACAGCCGGGCUGGAGUGCCGGAGCGGUAGGCGGAAUUCCUAGUGUAGCGGUGAAAUGCGUCGCUAUUAGGAGGAACCCCAGUGGCGACGGCGGCCUACUGGACGGUGACUGACGCUGCGGCUCGAACGCGUGGGGAGCAAACAGGAUUAGAUACCCGGGUAGUC
RNAcentral lists this ribosomal RNA (443 nucleotides) under uncultured bacterium. Its description in RNAcentral is "partial 16S ribosomal RNA". It matches the Rfam family "Bacterial small subunit ribosomal RNA", at positions 338 to 795 of the family's 1533-position model. The record is from RNAcentral.